Long non-coding RNA from Arachis duranensis, 222 nucleotides. RefSeq lists it as uncharacterized. The transcript has 3 exons. The record is from RefSeq and is a predicted model, not a curated record. NCBI's taxonomy places the organism in Eukaryota, Viridiplantae, Streptophyta, Magnoliopsida, Fabales, Fabaceae.
GUUUAGGGUUUACGGUUUAGUGUUUGGUAUUUUCGGUUAGGGUUUGGGGUUUAGGAUUUGAGGUUUAGGGUUUAUGGUUUAGUGUUUAGGUUUUAAGGUUUAGGGAUUUGGGUUUAGGGUAUUGGUUUUAGGGUUUAUGAUUUAGGGUUUAUGGUUUAUGGUUUAGUGUUUAGGGUUUAUGGUUUAGGGUUUAUCGGUUUGGGUUUAUAUUUUGGGGUUAUG